AAAAUCUUAAGUUAUAUUUUAAACUUUUAUCGUUCAAAGAUAAGAAAACUUCAACGUAGAUUUUG
This 65-nucleotide transfer RNA is filed under the name Colpocephalum griffoneae. RNAcentral's name for it is "tRNA-Trp". Lineage: Eukaryota; Metazoa; Arthropoda; Insecta; Psocodea; Menoponidae. The record is from RNAcentral.